This 1215-nucleotide small RNA is filed under the name Cryptococcus neoformans H99. RNAcentral describes it as "Cryptococcus neoformans var. grubii H99 hypothetical RNA". The record is from RNAcentral. Lineage: Eukaryota; Fungi; Basidiomycota; Tremellomycetes; Tremellales; Cryptococcaceae.
UAUGCCGGACGUGAUAAUGCAUAUAAUCGUCGAAUCUCUACGGAGCACAUGUACUAAACAAACCACUCGACGCGUCGCUCACAGGCAUCUGUUUUCUUGUUUAUCCGCAAUCCUUUCGGCCUCCAAGGCUGGGUACAUGGUGCCAUAUCAACUCUAUACAUGCGGAUGGUAUCAUUGUCUAACUAAUUAUUGUAUAACCGAAAAAAUCAAGCUCCGUAGACUAUUGACAAUUAUCUCUAUAUAAGAGGCCCUAGACCAAUCCAAUAACUUUGACACUCCAUCACUGAAACAAGAUGUAGGGAUUAUACUUAGUCCUUGCUCUUCUUCUUCUUCUGCAAUGCGGUCACGGCAUUCACAGCAGCUUCCUCCUCCUUGGUCUUCCUCUUCUUAUCCUUCUUGUUCUUCUCAGCGGCAGCAAGAGUAGGAGCAGGAAUAGGAGCAACAGGAGUCUGCAUCGAUGAUGAGCAUAUACUUUAGUCAUAGACAGCGAGGCGAGCUUACAGAGUCCCCUUCGGAGGAGUCAUCGUCAGAAGAAUCGUCGGAAAUAUCCAUGAGUGCAGGGUCCACCUCAACGGUAUCCUUCUUGGCGUAGGCUUCCUCUUCAGCUCGGAAGUUGUUAUGGGCGGCGGCAUAGGCGUCCUCAAAGAUCUAAACGAAUCAUCAGCAAAAGCCCAAACUUCCUCGAUUACCAAAUCCACAGAAUUGACUUACCUUCUUCUCGCUAUCUGGCAACUCCUUCCAUCUCUGAGAGAUUAUUUGUAACACAUCCUUAUAAGGCAUGCCAGGGUUUGAGGUCCUAAUGUCAUCACGAACUUCAUUCUGGAAUAAGAUGUAUGCACUAGGAGGCCUCUUGGGUGCGUUGGGGUCCCUGAUCUUCUUUUCCUUCUUCUUACGCUCCUUCUUGCCAGUGCUUCCGACACCGGCGUCAGCCAAUCCAGAGGCAAGAGCGACAGCAAGAGGGCCGCCGGCAGUGAGGGGUUGGAGGAGGUCAGGCUUGGAGAGAUGGACGGGAGAGAGGGAGGUGUACUCCUCAAUGACUUGGACGCAGCGCGUCAUGGCAGAAGAGACUUCGCGAAGAGACUGGAUCAUCUGUGUAUUGAAAGAUGAACAACGUAGUCUUUGCAAAAGUAGAUGAUGUGCACUUACCUCGAUUCGCUUGGCUUCCAUUUCUUCCCAGCUAGGAGCAGACAUUUGGUGUAUGUAACGUGUCUAAAC